CUGACCCAGCCAUGCCGCGUGCAGGAAGAAGGCCUUCUGGGUUGUAAACUGCUUUUGAUCGGGAACAAAAAGCCCUUGCGAGGGAAAUUGAGUGUACCGAUAGAAUAAGCACCGGCUAACUCCGUGCCAGCAGCCGCGGUAAUACGGAGGGUGCAAGCGUUGUCCGGAUUUAUUGGGUUUAAAGGGUGCGUAGGCGGCUAUUUAAGUCAGUGGUGAAAUCCUGCAGCUCAACUGUAGAACAGCCAUUGAUACUGAAUAGCUUGAGUACAGACGAGGUAGGCGGAAUUUAUGGUGUAGCGGUGAAAUGCAUAGAUACCAUAAAGAACCCCUAUUGCGAAGGCAGCUUACUAGGCUGUAACUGACGCUGAGGCACGAAAGCGUGGGGAUCAAACAGGAUUAGAUACCCUGGUAGUCCACGCCGUAAACGAUGAUUACUCGAUGUUCGCGAUAUACAGUGAGCGUCCAAGCGAAAGCGUUAAGUAAUCCACCUGGGAAGUACGAUCGCAAGAUUGAAACUC
RNAcentral lists this ribosomal RNA (518 nucleotides) under uncultured bacterium. RNAcentral's name for it is "bacterial SSU rRNA". It matches the Rfam family "Bacterial small subunit ribosomal RNA", at positions 383 to 902 of the family's 1533-position model. The record is from RNAcentral.